RNAcentral lists this ribosomal RNA (389 nucleotides) under Syndiniales sp. RNAcentral's name for it is "partial small subunit ribosomal RNA". It matches the Rfam family "Eukaryotic small subunit ribosomal RNA", at positions 582 to 975 of the family's 1831-position model. The record is from RNAcentral. Lineage: Eukaryota; Dinophyceae; Syndiniales.
AUUCCAGCUCCAAUAGCGUAUGUUAAAGUUGUUGCGGCUAAAAAGCUCGUAGUUGGAUUUCUAGAUGAGAGGAGUGGUCCACUCUAUGAGUGUGUAUCUACUUCCGCUCGUCUAUCCGCUCUGCAAACGUGUCUGCGCUUGACUGCGUGGCGCGGAGGUAGGGCCUUUUACUUUGAGGAAAUUAGAGUGUUCACGGCAGGCAAUCGCCUUGAAUAUAUUAGCGUGGAAUAAUAACAUAGGAUCUUGGUUCUAUUUUGUUGGUUUCUAGGGCUAAGAUAAUGAUUAAUAGGGACAAUUGGGGGCAUUCGUAUCGCGGUGUCAGAGGUGGAAUUCUUGGAUUACUGCGCGACGAACUACUGCGAAAGCAUUUGCCAAGGACGUUUUCAUCG